UUUGAUCCUGGUUCAGGAUGAACGCUAGCGGCAGGCUUAACACAUGCAAGUCGAGGGGUAACAGGGAUUGCUUGCAAUCCGCUGACGACCGGCGCACGGGUGGGUAACGCGUAUGCAACCUACCUUCUACAGGGGGAUAGUCAAUAGAAAUGUUGAAUAAUACCCCAUACGAUCUUUGAAUAGCAUUAUUUAAAGAAGAAAGUUCCGGCGGUAGAAGAUGGGCAUGCGUCCUAUUAGUUAGAUUGAGAGGUAACGGCUCCCCAAGACAUGGAUAGGUAGGGUUCCUGAGAGGGAGACCCCCCACUCUGGUAGGGAGACACGGACCAGACUCCUACGGGAGGCAGCAGUGAUGAAUAUUGGACAAUGGAGGCAAAUUUGAUCCAACCAUGCCGGGUGCAGGAAGACUGCCAUAUGGGUUGUAAACUGAUUUUAUACAGGAAGAAAAACACUUAAGUGUAGGUAUUUGACGGUACACAUGGAUAAGGAUCGGGUAAUUACAUGGCAGCAGCCGCGGUAAUA
This 519-nucleotide ribosomal RNA is filed under the name uncultured bacterium. RNAcentral's name for it is "bacterial SSU rRNA". It matches the Rfam family "Bacterial small subunit ribosomal RNA", at positions 12 to 525 of the family's 1533-position model. The record is from RNAcentral.